Salmo salar (Atlantic salmon) is the source of this 54-nucleotide non-coding RNA. The record is from Rfam. NCBI's taxonomy places the organism in Eukaryota, Metazoa, Chordata, Actinopteri, Salmoniformes, Salmonidae.
UGCAUGUAUGACUGUCAGUUGCUCUGGAUAAAAGCAUCUGCUAAAUGGCAUAUA